RNA transcript from Galeopterus variegatus (Sunda flying lemur), 1947 nucleotides. It is a transcript of the gene named CCAAT/enhancer binding protein (C/EBP), gamma, with no coding region annotated. The record is from RefSeq and is a predicted model, not a curated record. The transcript has 3 exons. Lineage: Eukaryota; Metazoa; Chordata; Mammalia; Dermoptera; Cynocephalidae.
UACCUAAUUAGUGGUAUUCUUUUGUUUUUCCUCCCAUUUUUGAUAAAAAUCACAGGUGGGCAAUACCCUUAGGGAUUCAGGUGGGCUGAGUUUAGUCUUAUGGUGCUUCUGUACUAACUUACCUUUCUAAAUUAAAUGAGUUAGGCUUCUGAAAUAUUGGAACAGUUGGCAGUUGCUGUAGACUUUUCUGAGCAUAAUCAACUAAUGUUGGCUUGUUAUUAGGCACAUGCAAGUUUAGUCUCAUUUGAUUCUGUCAUUUCAAAGUUUUUAAUGCAAUUUAUUUUUUACCUAGGUAUAUGUGAAGACUUUUUUUGGCAGUUUAGCGUGGAAACCAUUGAUCACCGUGCCUUCAUUUCUACCUGCUCUUUGUUGGCAAGGCAGAGUGCCCAAAUGAGCAAGAUUUCGCAGCAAAACAGUACUCCAGGAGUGAACGGAAUAAGUGUUAUUCAUACUCAGGCACAUGCCAGCGGCUUACAGCAAGUUCCACAGCUGGUGCCUGCUGGCUCUGGGGGAGGAGGCAAAGCUGUGCCUCCAAGCAAACAAAGCAAAAAGAGCUCGCCCAUGGAUCGAAAUAGUGAUGAGUAUCGUCAACGCAGAGAGAGGAACAACAUGGCUGUGAAAAAGAGCCGGUUGAAAAGCAAGCAGAAGGCACAAGAUACACUGCAAAGAGUGAAUCAGCUCAAAGAAGAGAAUGAACGGUUGGAAGCAAAAAUUAAAUUGCUGACUAAGGAAUUAAGUGUACUAAAAGAUUUGUUUCUUGAGCAUGCACACAACCUUGCAGACAAUGUGCAGCCCAUUAGCACUGAAAAUACAACAGCAAAUUCUGAUAAUGCAGAACAGUAGACCUCAUCCUUUCUAGACUUCACAACUUGUGGCUUGAACAUUAAAGGUGUGACCACCUACAUCACUCAUAUCAAUGGCUGAGUGUUGUUUUGUUGCAUUAUUCAAAGAUCCAUAGGAGGUCAUUUUCUAGGAUCAGCACUGAAGAGUUGAUUAGUUAAAAAUGUUAGCCAUAUAAUUGAAUAUCUGGUUUAAAAUGAUACGGAUUUUUGUGAGGAUCAAAAACCAAAAAUUUUUAAGGUUUAUAAAAAAUUAUAUAUAUCCUGGACCUUGAUGUGCUUAAUAAAUCCUGACUUCUCAAGAAAUGCUUCUUUUUUAGGUUGACAAAAGCAAUGGGAAACUGAUACCAAAAAGCAGUCCAAAUGUUAAACCACUCUGAAGAACAGGCAGAUGGUUUGUUGUCUUUUCAUGUUUCCAGCCCAGGGUAUGUGUAUGGGGAGCGGGGGAUUGUGGUGUGGGGAGAAUGUGGUGGUGGGGGACAAGCAGGGGUGCUUUGGUCCAAGUCUAGAUUUCCCUUAGUGGCUAGGGAAAUAGUUUUCUCUGAACAUGGAAUGCAUCUUUAGUUAUAUUUUUAGUCACUUGGUCUAAUCUAGAAAUGGGUACUGGAAUAGGGAAAGCAAUAAAUGGGUUCCUGCUUUAUCACCUAGUGUCUCUGUGUGUGGUUUCCAUUUAGUGGUAAGAAAUUUGUAUGUUUUGAGGUAGUCAAGAAUGUGAAGUAAGGCCUUUCCCCUAAUACAAUUUUAUGGUGUAUACAUUAUCUUUAUUUACAUGAUACCACACAGUGUCUAUAGAGAUGAAUUUGAUUCCAUAAAUAUUGUGAGUCCAAGAAGGCGAUUUGAAUUGAGCGUUUCAAGAGAAAAUGCCAUUUAGAUACUUUUCUUCUAUGAUCCUUCAACUAUUUUCAUGUCUUGGGAAAUAAAUUUCUACUUGUUGCAUCUUAAUGAAAAUUGUAUUACAGUAAUUAUUCUGUGGUUAGUAUGUCCCAUUUCAUUUUUAUGAAUUAGUUGUAAUGCAGAAUCCAGUAACUUGUCUUGGGGAAUUUUAUAGAGAGAUUAUUUCUUUGUGAAGGUGCCAGGUCUUUUUUAAUAAAAGCACUUUUAGACCUAC